GUUGCCCUUCAAUAGAUGAAUAGAUAAAAAAAAUGUGGCAUUUAUACAUAAUGGAAUAUUACUCUGCUCUAAAAAAUGACAAAAUCAUGGAAUUUGCAGGGAAAUGGAUGACACUAGAGCAGAUUAUGCUAAGUGAAGCUAGCCAAUCCCUAAAAAAAUAAAUGCCAAAUGUCUUCUUUGAUAUAAGGAGAGCAACUAAGAACAAAAUAGAGAGGAAGAGCAUGAGAAGAUCACCACUAAACAGG
Molecule: long non-coding RNA, 245 nt
Filed under: Marmota monax (woodchuck)
Lineage: Eukaryota; Metazoa; Chordata; Mammalia; Rodentia; Sciuridae
Source: RNAcentral